GACGAACGCUGGCGGCGUGCCUAAUACAUGCAAGUUGAGCGCUGAAGGUUGGUACUUGUACCAACUGGAUGAGCAGAGCACGGGUGAGUAACGCGUGGGGAAUCUGCCUUUGAGCGGGGGACAACAUUUGGAAACGAAUGCUAAUACCGCAUAAAAACUUUAAACACAAGUUUUAAGUUUGAAAGAUGCAAUUGCAUCACUCAAAGAUGAUCCCGCGUUGUAUUAGCUAGUUGGUGAGGUAAAGGCUCACCAAGGCGAUGAUACAUAGCCGACCUGAGAGGGUGAUCAGCCACAUUGAGACUGUGACACGCCCCAAACGCCUACGGGAGGCAGCAGUAGGGAAUCGUCGGCAAUGGACGAAAGUCUGACCGAGCAACGCCGCGUGAGUGAGGAGUGUUGUCGGAUCGUAGAACUCUGUUGGUAGAGAAGAACGUUGGUGAGAGUGGAAAGCUCAUCAAGUGACGGUAACUACCCAGAAAGGGACGGCUAACUACGUG
Molecule: ribosomal RNA, 497 nt
Filed under: uncultured bacterium
Lineage: Bacteria
Description: partial 16S ribosomal RNA
Rfam family: Bacterial small subunit ribosomal RNA
Source: RNAcentral